UACGUAGGGUGCGAGCGUUGUCCGGAAUUACUGGGCGUAAAGGGCGCGUAGGCGGAUAUCUAAGUUGGGGGUGAAAUCCCGGGGCUCAACCUCGGAAUUGCCUUCAAAACUGGGUAUCUUGAGUUCGGGAGAGGUGAGUGGAACUCCGAGUGUAGAGGUGAAAUUCGUAGAUAUUCGGAAGAACACCAGUGGCGAAGGCAGCCUUCUGGGCCAACACUGACGCUCAUGCACGAAAGCGUGGGGAGCAAACAGG
Molecule: ribosomal RNA, 253 nt
Filed under: uncultured bacterium
Lineage: Bacteria
Description: partial 16S ribosomal RNA
Rfam family: Bacterial small subunit ribosomal RNA
Source: RNAcentral